CCUACGGGUGGCAGCAGUGGGGGAUAUUGCACAAUGGAGGAAACUCUGAUGCAGCGACGCCGCGUGAGGGAAGACGGUCUUCGGAUUGUAAACCUCUGUCUUCGGGGAAGAAAAUGACGGUACCCAAUGAGGAAGCUCCUGCUAACUACGUGCCAGCAGCCGCGGUCAUACGUCGGGCGCGGGCGUUGUCUGGAAUUACUGGGUGUAAAGGGAGCGUAGGCGGGCGAGAAAGUUGAAUGUUAAAUCUACCGGCUAAAGUGGUAGCUGCGUUCAAAACUUCUUGUCUUGAGUGAAGUAGAGGCAGGCGGAAUUCCAAGUGUAGGGGUGAAAUGCGUAGAGAUCUGGAGGAACAUCAGUGGCGAAGGCGACUAUCUGGCACAUAACUGACGCUGAGGAGCGAAAGCGUGGGUAGCAAACAGGAUUAGAUACCCGAGUAGUC
Molecule: ribosomal RNA, 439 nt
Filed under: uncultured bacterium
Lineage: Bacteria
Description: partial 16S ribosomal RNA
Rfam family: Bacterial small subunit ribosomal RNA
Source: RNAcentral